This is a non-coding RNA of Schistosoma mansoni, 49 nucleotides long. The record is from Rfam. Lineage: Eukaryota; Metazoa; Platyhelminthes; Trematoda; Strigeidida; Schistosomatidae.
AUCCAGCUGAUGGGUCCCAAAUAGGGACGAAACGCGUGUCAAACUGGAU